CGGAGGAUGCAAGCGUUAUCCGGAUUUAUUGGGUUUAAAGGGUGCGUAGGCGGAUGAAUAAGUCAGUGGUGAAAGCCUGCAGCUUAACUGUAGAAUUGCCAUUGAUACUGUUUAUCUUGAGUACAGCUGAGGUGGGCGGAAUAUGACAUGUAGCGGUGAAAUGCUUAGAUAUGUCAUAGAACACCGAUUGCGAAGGCAGCUCACUAAACUGUCACUGACGCUGAGGCACGAAAGCGUGGGGAGCAAACAGGAUUAGAUACCCUGGUAGUCCACGCCCUAAACUAUGAUCACUCGAUGUUGGCGAUACACUGUCAGCGUCUAAGGGAAACCAUUAAGUGAUCCACCUGGGGAGUACGGUCGCAAGACUG
This 368-nucleotide ribosomal RNA is filed under the name uncultured organism. RNAcentral describes it as "bacterial SSU rRNA". It matches the Rfam family "Bacterial small subunit ribosomal RNA", at positions 526 to 896 of the family's 1533-position model. The record is from RNAcentral.